This is a long non-coding RNA of Clupea harengus (Atlantic herring), 1598 nucleotides long. Lineage: Eukaryota; Metazoa; Chordata; Actinopteri; Clupeiformes; Clupeidae. The record is from Ensembl.
ACUCAACCAACCCACAUUCAACCUCAUGAAGUCCGACAGGCAGUACUGAAGCAUAGGUGCAAAAACAUCCAGACUUUGAAACAGCAUAUAACCCCAGGCCAUCAGUGUUAUUAAUAGAUGUCCCCACUCCCACCUAUACCACUACACACAUGACAUGGACAAUAUACAUGGACAAACUGCAUUAGGUGUAUACACUUAUGUAUAUUUUAUGUAUUUUAUGCUGUAUGUGAUUGUCUUACAUUGUGUUUUUUAAUCAUGUGUUUAGUUACUGUGAUUUUAUACCAUUUAUUAUCUAUUUUCUAUUUUAAGUGUGUCUGCAGCAUCCAGAGGUGAGGUUUUACUGUAUUUGGUAAGAUAAUUUAAAAUAGACGGCCUCUGCUGUGGUUCUCUCAGUGUGUAUCGGUAUUUUCUGCCUGUAUGCGCUUUCAAAACAAAAGGCUUGCAGCCAAAGGACACGACGCUCGGAAUGUGUCGUCUUCGAAGAACCCACGACACUAUUUUGUUCACAGCGUUUCAACUGUGCGAACGUAAUGAGAAUUCCCACUUGCAAAUUUCAGUGUGUAAAGGUAAAGUCACUAGUAAGAUGCGUUUCGAAUAUGUCCCUUAUUCUAGUUGAUGGCUUUUGGCGUGUUAUGUUACGUGAAAUCACAACAUGAGAGCCACCUCGUACUGUCAAAGAACUAUGCAGUUGUUACAACAAUUAGGUUCUGUUUAUUCAUGUCUGAUUGGACAAGAGGCAUUCUAUGAGCGGGGUUAUCCUGGCACAACCCCACUCGGACUCUUCGCCUCGCCGCUAGAUUGAUAUACAACGUCAUCAUUCUAUUAAUUCAAAGCGAUGUUACAUGUAACAGUUUUCGAGUGAGGAAAAGUGUAGUAGGAGAAAUGUACAAAUUAACAUGUAACUUGAAGACAGGUGAGUGUGCAAAUUAAUGUGAACAAAUAGCGUUUCUGACUCAUCCUGGCUACAGAGUCACCGCAAAGGCCAUAUAACAUAUCUGGUGACAGCAGUCGUAGCUUGGCUACACUUGACGCCGAAAACUCAGGUUGGAAUUUUUUUUGGUGCAGAGAAUGAAUAGACAAAAUCGACAUUAACAGAACACGAUCUGGUGUCUUCCUCAAACUCAAUUAGUCGGUAGUAGAACUGUUUUAUAAAAGCACAUAGUAUAUCUACAGGGCAGGUAAUCAAUUCCCCACUCUCACUCGUGUCAUAGGCUAUUGCUUAAGAAUUCUUGAUGUAAUCUAUGUACCGUAUUUUCCGGACUAUAAGCCGCUACUUUUUUCCCACGCUUUGAACCUCGCGGCUUAAACAACGAUGCGGCUAAUUUAUGGAUUAUGAUACCUGUGACUGUAUACGGUGGCUUUGUGUUUACGGUGGCUUUGUGGAGCUAGGAUGCUAGCAUGGAUGCAGCCGCAUGGAUGCUUAGCUCCACGCGAUUUCUCAGUAUCUCUCAAUAACUUAACUAAUGUCAAAAUAACCACAGUCUACCAGCGUAGACAGAACACAACUCAAAACACUUUAGAAAAUAAAAUAAAAGUUUACAACAAUACAAAUCCAGUCUUCAAGUUCUUUAGCUCACUGGUUUCAAACUAGCGUCUGU